Pelobates cultripes (western spadefoot toad) is the source of this 214-nucleotide non-coding RNA. The record is from the annotation of a GenBank genome assembly. Lineage: Eukaryota; Metazoa; Chordata; Amphibia; Anura; Pelobatidae.
UAACAAGUUUGACAUAUAGUAAAAAAGUUGAUGAGGGCACUUGGCAAAUGCCUUGCAAUCUUGGUUUCCAAUAAAAAUACAAGUUGUUAAUUUUAUUUAAUUUUGUUAACUACUUAAAGGAAAAUUGCCAUCAUUUUUGACUGAGCAUUAAAAAAAUCCAUGUAAUAUAGCAUGUGUGUAUUAUUAUUUAAGGAAUACACAAAUGUUUAUCACC